AAAAUAUGCAUCAUAGAAAUCCUUUGCUGAGUUAUGCAAAAAUAUUUGUGUCAAAAAUCAGUCCAGAUCUGGAAGGCCGAUGGAUAUUCCUUGAUGAUGAUAUCAUUGUACAAGGUGAUAUUUUUGAAUUGGCAAAUGCCACAAUCUUAGAAGAUAAUGUAGGAGCUUUUUCAUAUGAAUGUGAUGUCAUUUCUAAGCAGUACAAUUCACUUGGU
Molecule: long non-coding RNA, 215 nt
Organism: Centruroides sculpturatus (bark scorpion)
Lineage: Eukaryota; Metazoa; Arthropoda; Arachnida; Scorpiones; Buthidae
Exons: 3
Source: RefSeq, a predicted model, not a curated record